AUUUUGUAGAUACAUUACAUAGAUAACAACUAAUUCUUGGAUUCAUAAAUUAAUCUUUGGGUACCAGAUUGAAGUAAAUUGAGAAACUCCAUAUAAACCUAAUACUUGCCAUUGUAGCAAAUGACCAAAUAUUAAAUAACAAUGAGUUGUACAGUAUGUGAUUAUUUGGAGUUUGCUUCCUAAAUUAUUUUGUUACUCUAAAGGUGAAUGAAUGUACAGUGUAAUGUUACAGCAUUGGUUUGCUAGUGAUUGAAAAAAACUGUAUUAUACUUCUUUUAUCUGUACAUAGAUUCUCUUUUCCAAUUUAUAUUUAUAUAGUGCAUAUGAGUGCAACAAAAUAUUAUACUUCUUUUAUCUGUACAUAGAUUCUCUUUUCCAAUUCAUAUUUAUAUAGUGCAUAUGAGUGCAACAAAAUUGUAUUAACAAUAGUACAGUAUGAAAAAGUGUUCAACAAAAAAGAACCCCCAGGCACCUAAACAAAAUUAUCCUAUUAUUUUUUCAAUCUGUACAUAGAUUCUCUUUUCCAAUUCAUAUUUAUAUAGUGCAUAUGAGUGCAACAAAAUUAUAUUAACAGUAGUAGAGUAUGAAAAAUUGUUCAACAAAAAAGAACUCCCAAACACCUAAACAAAAUUAUCCUACUUCAUAAAGUAAGCAUGGAUGUCUGUUUACUCUGAGGAGCUCAUCCAAUCUUUAUAAUAAUAUCCACCUUCCCAUGUAGCAGCUGCUAAAAAUAACCAAAUUGAAUUCAAAACAGCCGUAGAUUAGUUGUUGAGGAAUGCUUUCUACUGUAGGUUGUUCCACUUUAUUCCAUAUUUUGGUUUACACACUAGCUGCCACAGGGGGUUCUGUUCUCUCGGCUACAGUAAUUCCAAUGCGAGUUAUCCCAUAGGAAAUUUUGUACAAAUUUCAAUAAGGAAUAUAAGGGAAAAAUAUAUAUUUACUUCCAUUCAUGCAGUAUUGCUGACCUCACAGAGAAGCUAGUAGGUCUAAUAUUCAUUUUUUUUUAAUGGUAUUGGUAAGCGCAUACUACAUGGUCUCUAUGCGCUAUAAGUUACACAAAAGAAACAAACCAAAAACUAAAUCCUAAAUUCUAACCCAGCGAC
Long non-coding RNA from Anneissia japonica, 1103 nucleotides. RefSeq lists it as uncharacterized. The record is from RefSeq and is a predicted model, not a curated record. The transcript has 2 exons. NCBI's taxonomy places the organism in Eukaryota, Metazoa, Echinodermata, Crinoidea, Comatulida, Comatulidae.